Non-coding RNA from Nothobranchius furzeri (turquoise killifish), 529 nucleotides. NCBI's taxonomy places the organism in Eukaryota, Metazoa, Chordata, Actinopteri, Cyprinodontiformes, Nothobranchiidae. The record is from RefSeq and is a predicted model, not a curated record.
AUGUGCCCAAAGUGCCCCUUUGGAGGUUUAAUGAUUUAUUUAUAUUUAUUUAUUUAUAAUUGUUUUAUUUUUUUAAGAAUUUUCUGUUUGUGCCCCCUCAACAAUAACAAAAAUACUAAUUAAUAACAUUUCUGUUUAAUAAAGUUAUAUAGCUGGCGUGAGUCACGAGACCAUACCGUCUCUUCCUCACGCCAGAGCGCACAGCCGGUCACAACAAGCUGCGAGCACCCAUGUUUCCUUCAUGGCCGAGCGAGUGGUGCAAAGCUUUUAGGACAUACAUAUUGAUUGGGAGAAACGGACUAACACCGACAUGCCUCGUAAGGACAGGAGGCGGAAGCAGCGACAGAAAGAGCUAUGUGAGGCAGCUAAAGGCAGUGGGUCCCUCACCAGCUGGAUAAAAAAAGAGUACAGUCUGAGAUCAACACAGCCUUGCCCUCCAGCAUCAUCAGCAGCAGCAAGAGGAGCGACCCUGCAACAGCUCCAUUGUACCCCAUCAUCAGGUAAAAUAGGACAGCAAUAGAUCAGGAGG